UAUUAUAGUACACUUAACCAACAGCCGCAUGUGCGUUGUUUUUGUUGACAUUAUACUAAUAUUGUUAUAAGUAUAAAAGUGGGAUCAUAGCGGAUUUGUGUUGAAGUGCGCGUCUGACAGUGCCGGAGACGUGAAACGAGCUAAGCUAAAUUAAGCUAAACUAAGGUACGCUACGCUAAGCUAAGCUAGAAAGUGGAUAGCGGUCCUAACAGCAUUAAGUAACCGCGGUGGAGUAGCGUGUUUAGCUGACGGGAUUUAGGCAGCUACAGGCGGGCAGUGAGAGUCACACAGCGAGCUGGUGUGCAGGAGCUGCAGUUAAACAGUGCACUCUGUUAUUCACUGAUCACUCACACAGGCACAGAAGUGCUGAAGGCGUUUAGCUCACUGAACGCUACACCUGCACGCCGGCUUUUUAUGACUAGGAUUAUAAGUGAAUGUUCCAGUGUUAGAGCACUAACGCUAGCAAAACUAGUCGGGACAAACCAGCUAGAGCUUAGCUGACGUUUUAAUCAACCGGUGUCGAAGCUCAGUAGAUAACGGCAGAGUUUGGAGUUUUUACUGCUUUGAAUGCACACGUAAAGACACGCUAGUCUCUGGUCCAUUGAGCUGGCUUCGUCGAAAUGAUUGACAGAAAUGAUUGGAUAAACUGCGUCGGAGGAUCUGAUACACAAGUGGCGUGGUUCAUGUUUGGGAAAACGAAGGUCAUUUAACGUCAUGCUGCGAUCAUCGGCUCUGGUACUGUAUCCGCCACUUAAUGACCCCUGGCCCGUGUCUCUCUCUCAAAGAAGUUCCGAGCGGACUUUAGAUUUAAGUCGCGAGGCUUAUUUGAUUACCCGGCUGUAAAAAUGUGUCACUGUGCUUGUUUAUAUGGCACUAAAUAGUGAGAUAACAGCAUGUAUUAGGUGUUGUGAAAGUAUUGUUUUACUAUACUUGGCAGCAGUGAGAGGUACGAUGGUGGAAACGUGAAGCAAGACGGAAUUUGUCCAGCAGUAGAGAUGCUGAAAGGGCAUUUCUGCUGUGGGUGAAUGUGGCUGAGAAAAUGCUUGAUGAUAGAAAUAUUCAUCGUUUGAUAAGGUUCUUCUUCUGAAACACAACAAGCUGUGAUUGGUGACUGCGUAUAUCUGUGGAGUAUACAUGUCUGUUUAUUCUCCUGUGUGAAUUCAGCCAUAGCAUUGAGGAAAAAUAAUAGAAUAAACUAAACCAAACUAAAAUAAAGUCAGAGGAUAAGCUAAACUGUAGUUCUGUGUCCUUCCUAGAGCCGUGAUCCCAGUUGCAUUCUGCCACUCAAACGUUCUUACCGAUAUGUUUUUAUAAAGUGUGAGGUAUUGCCUUGCUGCCCAGCCCUUGUGUCACGUUGUAUAUCAAUUGCAGUUUGACACUUUGUUCAAGAUGCACAUUAUAUCAUUUUUAAAGACAAUAAAACAAGCCAAACUAUACCGAAAAAGCCAUUUACUUUCCACGGAAACAAUCUUCAAGAACAUGCUUGGAACAAAACAAAAAUUGAAAGACCGGUUUUUUUUUUUUUUUUUUGUUUUUUUUUUUA
This is a long non-coding RNA of Ictalurus punctatus (channel catfish), 1543 nucleotides long. The record is from Ensembl. NCBI's taxonomy places the organism in Eukaryota, Metazoa, Chordata, Actinopteri, Siluriformes, Ictaluridae.